Molecule: ribosomal RNA, 460 nt
Filed under: uncultured bacterium
Lineage: Bacteria
Description: partial 16S ribosomal RNA
Rfam family: Bacterial small subunit ribosomal RNA
Source: RNAcentral
CCUACGGGAGGCUGCAGUGAGGAAUAUUGGUCAAUGGACGAGAGUCUGAACCAGCCAAGUAGCGUGAAGGAUGACUGCCCUAUGGGUUGUAAACUGCUUUUAUAUGGGAAUAAAAUGUUCCACGUGUGGGGGUUUGUAUGUACCAUAUGAAUAAGGAUCGGCUAACUCCGUGCCAGCAGCCGCGGUAAUACGGAGGAUCCGAGCGUUAUCCGGAUUUAUUGGGGUUAAAGGGAGCGUAGGUGGAUUGUUAAGUCAGUUGUGAAAGUCUGCGGCUCAACCGUAAAAUUGCAGUUGAAACUGGCAGUCUUGAGUACAGUAGAGGUGGGCGGAAUUCGUGGUGUAGCGGUGAAAUGCUUAGAUAUCACGAAGAACUCCGAUUGCGAAGGCAGCUCACUGGACUGCAACUGACACUGAGGCUCGAAAGUGUGGGUAUCAAACAGGAUUAGAUACCCGAGUAGUC